RNAcentral lists this ribosomal RNA (735 nucleotides) under uncultured bacterium. RNAcentral's name for it is "bacterial SSU rRNA". It matches the Rfam family "Bacterial small subunit ribosomal RNA", at positions 54 to 780 of the family's 1533-position model. The record is from RNAcentral.
CAUGCAAGUCGAGGGGCAGCAUGUUGGUUGCUUGCAACCAAUGAUGGCGACCGGCGCACGGGUGAGUAACGCGUAUCCAACCUACCCUUGUCCAUCGGAUAACCCGUCGAAAGGCGGCCUAACACGAUAUGCGGUUCUCAGCAGGCAUCUAACGAGAACGAAAUGUGAAGGAGAAGGAUGGGGAUGCGUCUGAUUAGCUUGUUGGCGGGGUAACGGCCCACCAAGGCGACGAUCAGUAGGGGUUCUGAGAGGAAGGUCCCCCACAUUGGAACUGAGACACGGUCCAAACUCCUACGGGAGGCAGCAGUGAGGAAUAUUGGUCAAUGGACGAGAGUCUGAACCAGCCAAGUAGCGUGCAGGAAGACGGCCCUAUGGGUUGUAAACUGCUUUUAUAGGGGGAUAAAGUGUGCCACGUGUGGCAUAUUGCAGGUACCCUAUGAAUAAGGACCGGCCAAUUCCGUGCCAGCAGCCGCGGUAAUACGGAAGGUCCAGGCGUUAUCCGGAUUUAUUGGGUUUAAAGGGAGCGUAGGCCGUUUGGUAAGCGUGUUGUGAAAUGUCGGGGCUCAACCUGGGCAUUGCAGCGCGAACUGCCAGACUUGAGUGCGCAGGAAGUAGGCGGAAUUCGUCGUGUAGCGGUGAAAUGCUUAGAUAUGACGAAGAACUCCGAUUGCGAAGGCAGCCUGCUGUAGCGCAACUGACGCUGAAGCUCGAAAGCGUGGGUAUCGAACAGGAUUA